This is a small nucleolar RNA of Ictidomys tridecemlineatus (thirteen-lined ground squirrel), 72 nucleotides long. Lineage: Eukaryota; Metazoa; Chordata; Mammalia; Rodentia; Sciuridae. The record is from Ensembl.
CUACAAUGAUAGUUAAUAUUUUCCAUCAGUAGCAAUUCACCUAGUGAGUGUUGAUACCUGACCUGUGGUUAA